This 184-nucleotide ribosomal RNA is filed under the name Oestrus ovis (sheep bot fly). Its description in RNAcentral is "partial large subunit ribosomal RNA". The record is from RNAcentral. Lineage: Eukaryota; Metazoa; Arthropoda; Insecta; Diptera; Oestridae.
GUGGUUGAUCACGAGUUAGUCGGUCCUAAGUUCAAGGCGAAAGCUAAGAAAUUUUCAAAUUAUUAAGAGAAUAUAUAUAUAUAUAUGAGAAAUUAUAAUUGUCUCAAAAAUAUUAUACUAUUAGUUAAAUAUUUGAAAGUUUUUUGAACGAAAGGGAAUACGGUUCCAAUUCCGUAACUUGUUG